CAGCCACCUCCAUUGCGCAGCAGCCUCGUUCCUUCAAAGGUGCUCCACCACUGCUUGGUCACUCGAUGUCUUUGUCUCCCUAUUGCGUGCUCUGUUGAAGGUGUCUUCGAGCUUCCAGGUGAUGAAGCCGAUGAUGCAGACUGAAACUUUGUUCUGUGAGAGUUAAAACAUUACAUAUCAGUUCCCCUAUCUUGGCUGCUAAAAGUCCCUAUUUCUACGAGCUUUUUUCAAGUGAGACGAAGCAGUCAGAACAAAGACAUGUCACCCUGAAAAUUAAUGCCUCUGAAAAAGGUGCUCUUAUGCAGUUAUUGAAUUUUAUGUAUAGUAGUACAUUGACCAAUACUUCAGCAAGAAACAGUCCAACCAUUGUGUGAUGCAGCAAAGCUGUUUCUUGUUAAUAAAUUCAAGGAUAUA
This is a long non-coding RNA of Arachis duranensis, 414 nucleotides long. RefSeq lists it as uncharacterized. NCBI's taxonomy places the organism in Eukaryota, Viridiplantae, Streptophyta, Magnoliopsida, Fabales, Fabaceae. The transcript is spliced from 4 exons. The record is from RefSeq and is a predicted model, not a curated record.